Molecule: long non-coding RNA, 712 nt
Filed under: Brassica napus (rape)
Lineage: Eukaryota; Viridiplantae; Streptophyta; Magnoliopsida; Brassicales; Brassicaceae
Description: long non-coding RNA (BNAP_LNC011349)
Source: RNAcentral
GGCCCAUGAUCUUCUGUAACUGCUUAUCUUCUUAACAUGUUAAGAUUCUUUUCCAAGUGUUUAUCAGUUUAAAAUUUAUAGUUUUAGGCUAUUUGAUUUAUGAAUAAAUGAACAAGAAUCAAUUUUUUCUUAUGAAUCAUGAUGAUGAUGAUUGCAUUUUUUCUUAUGUAGGAUUUGGAAGGAAACUAGGGUAUCCUAGUCAAACGAAUCUGAUUAAAACUUUUCUCUAAGGUAAUUAUUUUUGUUCUUUCUUCUAAUUCUCUCUUUUUUUUUUAUAAAUUGUAAUUUAUUUUUCCGUUAGGCUGCAGAAAAAAACAAUACGGCUUGAGGCGGAAGUUAGUGGAUAAACUGUUGUUUGGUGUUCGAAGAGGAUGGAGUUCGUUGAGUGGUGUCGAGGACAGCUGCUGCAGAGUCUCUUGAAGAAGAUAUUUUCUGUUAGAUUUCACAUUUCCAGAAUAUUAUGCAAGUGUAAGCGUAGAAGAGUGGACGUCUAUGAGAAAAGCAGCAUUCUUCAAUGAAUUUCAUCGAAGUCACUAUUGAAUUCAUUCAAAUGAAGAUUGAAGAUAAAAGAAAAAAGAUAUAUUUUCGUUGUUUUAAAUAUUUUUUCUCUAUGAAUCCAUCUCCUUUUUUCUUCUUCUUGUAUUUGUUGUUCUUCCGAUUCUAUCAUUUAAUUGAUUUAUGUACGGAAAUUUAAUCAAAUAUACAAAUGAAA